This 931-nucleotide ribosomal RNA is filed under the name uncultured bacterium. Its description in RNAcentral is "bacterial SSU rRNA". It matches the Rfam family "Bacterial small subunit ribosomal RNA", at positions 502 to 1434 of the family's 1533-position model. The record is from RNAcentral.
UACGUGCCAGCAGNCGCGGUAAUACGUAGGUCCCGAGCGUUGUCNGGAUUUAUUGGGCGUAAAGGGAGCGCAGGCGGUUUAGUAAGUNUGAAGUUAAAGGCAUUGGCUCAACCAAUGUAUGCUUUGGAAACUGUUAGACUUGAGUGCAGAAGGGGAGAGUGGAAUUCCAUGUGUAGCGGUGAAAUGCGUAGAUAUAUGGAGGAACACCGGUGGCGAAAGCGGCUCUCUGGUCUGUCACUGACGCUGAGGCUCGAAAGCGUGGGUAGCGAACAGGAUUAGAUACCCUGGUAGUCCACGCCGUAAACGCUGAGUGCUAGGUGUUAGGUCCUUUCCGGGACUUAGUGCCGACGCUAACGCAUUAAGCACUCCGCCUGGGGAGUACGACCGCAAGGUUGAAACUCAAAGGAAUUGACGGGGGCCCGCACAAGCGGUGGAGCAUGUGGUUUAAUUCGAAGCAACGCGAAGAACCUUACCAGGUCUUGACAUCCCGAUGCCCGCUCUAGAGAUAGAGUUUUUCUUCGGAACAUCGGAGACAGGUGGUGCAUGGUUGUCGUCAGCUCGUGUCGUGAGAUGUUGGGUUAAGUCCCGCAACGAGCGCAACCCUUAUUGUUAGUUGCCAUCAUUAAGUUGGGCACUCUAGCGAGACUGCCGGUAAUAAACCGGAGGAAGGUGGGGAUGACGUCAAAUCAUCAUGCCCCUUAUGACCUGGGCUACACACGUGCUACAAUGGUUGGUACAACGAGUCGCAAGCCGGUGACGGCAAGCUAAUCUCUGAAAGCCAAUCUCAGUUCGGAUUGUAGGCUGCAACUCGCCUACAUGAAGUCGGAAUCGCUAGUAAUCGCGGAUCAGCACGCCGCGGUGAAUACGUUCCCGGGCCUUGUACACACCGCCCGUCACACCACGAGAGUUUGUAACACCCAAAGUCGGUGAG